Molecule: long non-coding RNA, 1669 nt
Organism: Nicotiana attenuata
Lineage: Eukaryota; Viridiplantae; Streptophyta; Magnoliopsida; Solanales; Solanaceae
Exons: 2
Source: RefSeq, a predicted model, not a curated record
UAGCCUAUACAAAAAUUAUUUAAGAAGAUAGAGAAACAAAAGGAAAUAGUUGGGCAAUUAGGAACUAAAAGCUCUUCCCUUUAUACCUCUCUACACAAUGCAUACUGAAAGAAGUAAGACAGAUCAUAAACAUUUUCCAAUUCUUUCUACUGGUCCAAGUCCUAAAGUCUAACCAAGACUUAACGUUAAAUUCAGCUUAAACCACUGUGAUUGUCAGCAAGAACACUACCAUAUUUGUUGGAAAGCUGUUAAUUCCAAGCUAUCUCCACACCUUCUCCCAAACAAUAAAAUUAAUAUAUGUAAAACGCAGCACUUGACCCCCAGUUACACACACACACACACAACAUCUGCAGAAUUUUGGUAUGCAAUUUUACGUAGUAAGUAGUAAUACCAAAAAUCAAAGAUCCAGUCUUUUUAUAUUUUCCAAGAAGAUUGAAUCAAUGAAAAGAUGACAGCUUUACUACAGAGUACAGAGGCAGUGAAUUGACUGCUUCAAUAGGAGCAUUGGGGUUAAUGGCAACACAUGACUUCUGCUUGUUUACUAAUUGGCCAGAGACUUUUUCAUAAGUACUAAGAGUAUCCAUGAUCAUCUUUCAAGAAUUUCUGAUACCACUGGAGAAUAAGAUUUUGUCAUCAGCAAAAGCAAGAUGACUAAUAAGAGGUGCGUUCUUACUCAUAUGAAAACCUAAAAAACUACUAGAGUAAUAUAGUUUAUUAAGUUUCCUUGAAAGAAAUUCAGCACAAAGAAUAAAUAGAGAAGACGAAAUAGGAUCUCCCGGUCUUAAACCUCUUUUUGAUUUACCAAUGUCUUGAAUGAUUUCCUAGGCUAGCAAAAUAUUUUUAGUUAUAGCUCUCCCUUUUAUGAACCCACUCUGAUUAUCACUGAUCAGGUUAGGAAGUAAUUUAUUCAGCCUAGUGUUGAGAACCUUGGAAAAAAACUUACUCAGGACAUUGCAUAAACUAACAUGCCUUAUAUCAGUGAAAUGUUUAGGAGAAGGCACUUUGGGAAGCAUCAGGAUAUUUUUAAAAGGCCUUAUAUCAGUGUGGUUUGGGAUUAAAAGGCCCUUUACCACACAACUUGAAUCAGUUGUCAAAACAAGGAGGGCAAUUCUACUAUGGUAAGUAAAUCAUCACACAGAAUCGUUUAUUCUAGUGAUAAUUUUCAGAGGGAUGCAACUGUUAACUUUCAACGCGUUUGUGAUUUAGAAUGCAAACUGGAACAAAAGGAAAACAUUGAACUCGAACCCAAGAAGAAGUCCUUAGCCAAAAAGGUCACUGGUUUUCAGGUAUUUCUCUUUUGUAAAUUUACUAUUCUCAAGCUGCAAUCUUGAGUUGCAGGAGAUCUAUAUCUAAAAGCUGAACUUGUUCAUGUUCAGUGGCAAAAUCUUGAGGGAAAAGUUAUAAAUACACUUACAAGUCUCUUGCGAUGCUCCCCAACACUGAUAGAGCCACUUGUAUGAGUCCCAAUGGCAAUUUCGCUCCCACCACAAUAAUUUUUUUGCAUUUAUUUCUGACUUUUCAACACACUUAGGAUCUUUCCAAAGUCUCAACCAACUUUCCCACACAUUAUUUGGAAUAGUUUCCGGUUGCACCAUAUUUGCUUUUAGUUUGCUAACAAAAUCAUUGUAUCUUCUUGCUGCCCUACGCUCCCAUUGGAUCUGCACCACAC